This 292-nucleotide ribosomal RNA is filed under the name uncultured bacterium. RNAcentral describes it as "partial 16S ribosomal RNA". It matches the Rfam family "Bacterial small subunit ribosomal RNA", at positions 505 to 796 of the family's 1533-position model. The record is from RNAcentral.
GUGUCAGCAGCCGCGGUAAGACAGAGGUGCCAAGCGUUAGGCGGAAUCACUGGGCUUAAAGCGUGUGUAGGCGGAUCGUUAAGUACCUUGUGAAAUCCCACGGCUCAACCGUGGAACUGCUCGGUAUACUGGCGGUCUUGAGCCACCUAGGGGCAACUGGAACAAGCGGUGGAGCGGUGAAAUGCGUAGAUAUCGCUUGGAACGCCAACGGUGAAAACAGGUUGCUGGGGGUGUGCUGACGCUGAGACACGAAAGCCAGGGGAGCGAACGGGAUUAGAUACCCCGGUAGUCC